Molecule: ribosomal RNA, 470 nt
Filed under: uncultured bacterium
Lineage: Bacteria
Description: partial 16S ribosomal RNA
Rfam family: Bacterial small subunit ribosomal RNA
Source: RNAcentral
GACGAACGCUGGCGGCGUGCUUAACACAUGCAAGUCUGGGGGCGGGGCGACCCGUUACCGGCGAACGGGUGCGGAACACGUGAGCGACCUGCCCUGUGUGUGGGGGAUAGCCGGCCCAACGGCCGGGUAAUACCGCAUACGUACCGCGCUUGGAGGCGCUGGGAGAAAGCCCGGAAGGGCGCACGAGGAGGGGGCCGCGGCCUAUCAGCUGGUAGGGGGGGUAACGGCCCACGAAGGCGACGACGGGUAGCUGGUCGGAGAGGCAGACCAGCCACGAUUGGACUGAGAGACGGCCCAGGCUGGCACGGGUAGCAGAUGUGGGGAAACGUGCGAAAGGGGCGAAAAGCUAACGCGGCGGCGCCGCGUAGGGGAUGAGGCCCUAAGAGGUGUAAACUCCUGUUGCUCGGGACGAACGGCGGGCAUCGGCCCGCUUGACGGUACCGGGUGAGGAAGCACCGGCUAACUCUGUG